UCCAUUUGGUGUCCAGAAAUCCCUCAUUGAUAGAUAUAAAGAGAACUUCUCCACCGGUGUGGUGUUUCAAGCGCUUCCACUAGCUGUUUGACAUCAAGACACUGAUAACAGGUCUCUUGCUUCAUUAUCCGUUUUUGACUCGUAUGUAGGCCGGUCGUCCAUCAGUUGUCGAACCAUCUGGUGGAGAGUUUGUUGCUCUAGGCCCUCCUUACUUGGCUUUUGGAAAUUGAAUGGAUUCUUUCCCUCUCCGAGCGGAG
RNAcentral lists this long non-coding RNA (257 nucleotides) under Panax ginseng (ginseng). Its description in RNAcentral is "long non-coding RNA (PGIN_LNC007735)". Lineage: Eukaryota; Viridiplantae; Streptophyta; Magnoliopsida; Apiales; Araliaceae. The record is from RNAcentral.